CGGUGUAGCUCAGCUGGUAGAGCAACUGACUUGUAAUCAGUAGGUCGGAGGUUCGAAUCCCCUCGCC
RNAcentral lists this transfer RNA (67 nucleotides) under human gut metagenome. It matches the Rfam family "tRNA". From Rfam's summary of the family: Transfer RNA (tRNA) molecules are approximately 80 nucleotides in length. RNAcentral also lists the same sequence under 2 other names. The record is from RNAcentral.